Molecule: ribosomal RNA, 572 nt
Filed under: uncultured Serratia sp.
Lineage: Bacteria; Pseudomonadati; Pseudomonadota; Gammaproteobacteria; Enterobacterales; Yersiniaceae
Description: bacterial SSU rRNA
Rfam family: Bacterial small subunit ribosomal RNA
Source: RNAcentral
CGCCCUUAGAGUUUGAUCAUGGCUCAGAUUGAACGCUGGCGGCAGGCUUAACACAUGCAAGUCGAGCGGUAGGGGAGCUUGCUCCCUACGAGCGGCGGACGGGUGAGUAAUGUCUGGGAAACUGCCUGAUGGAGGGGGAUAACUACUGGAAACGGUAGCUAAUACCGCAUAACGUCGCAAGACCAAAGAGGUUCAUCUUGCCAUCAGAUGUGCCCAGAUGGGAUUAGCUAGUAGGUGGGGUAAUGGCUCACCUAGGCGACGAUCCCUAGCUGGUCUGAGAGGAUGACCAGCCACACUGGAACUGAGACACGGUCCAGACUCCUACGGGAGGCAGCAGUGGGGAAUAUUGCACAAUGGGCGCAAGCCUGAUGCAGCCAUGCCGCGUGUGUGAAGAAGGCCUUCGGGUUGUAAAGCAUUUUCGGCGAGGAGGAAGGUGGUGAGUAAUUUCAUCAAUUGACGUUACUCGCAGAAGAAGCACCGGCUAACUCCGUGCCAACAGCCGCGGUAAUACGGAGGGUGCAAGCGUUAAUCGGAAUUACUGGCCGUAAAGCGCACGCAGCCGGUUUGUCAGU